Molecule: ribosomal RNA, 1282 nt
Filed under: human gut metagenome
Description: bacterial LSU rRNA
Rfam family: Bacterial large subunit ribosomal RNA
Source: RNAcentral
GAUGUUGGCUUAGAAGCAGCCAUGCAUUUAAAGAGUGCGUAACAGCUCACUGGUCAAGUGGACAUGCGCCGACAAUUCACGGGGCUAAGCAUGGUACCGAAGCGGCGGACUAAUCUAUAUUAGUGGUAGGGGAGCUUUCCCCGCAGCGGAGAAGCCGAGAGGGCGACCCUCGGUGGAGCGCGGGGAAGUGAGAAUGCUGGCAUGAGUAACGAGAGCGGCGCGAGAAACGCCGCCGCCGUAAGCCUAAGGGUUCCUGGGCAAGGCUAAUCCUCCCAGGGUCAGUCGGGAGCUAAGGCGAGGCCGAGAGGCGUAGCCGAUGCGCAACAGGCGGACAUUCCUGUACCGCCUGCGGACCGCUAUCACCGACGGGGUGACGGAGAAGGGUAGCCGAGCGGGGUUCUGGACGUCCCCGUGAAAGCGCGUAGGGAGCAUCGCAUGGAAAUCAGCGGCGCAUAUAUCCUGAGACGCGAGACGAAAGCUUAUGCUGAAGUCGGCGAGCCCAUGCUUCCGAGAAAAACCUCUAGGAAGGGACGCAGGCGCCCGUACCAAAACCGACACAGGUGGGCAGGUAGAGCAUACCGAGGCGAUCGGGAGAACCAUGGUUAAGGAACUCGGCAUACUGACUCCGUAACUUCGGGAGAAGGAGUGCCCCUGGCGGUGACGGGACUAGCUCCCCGAGCGGCCGGGGGUCGCAGCGAAACGGCCCAAGCGACUGUUUAUCAAAAACACAGGACUCUGCAAAGCCGUAAGGCGACGUAUAGGGUCUGACGCCUGCCCGGUGCUGGAAGGUUACGCGGAUGGGUCAGCCGCAAGGCGAAGCUCUGAAGCCAAGCCCCAGUAAACGGCGGCCGUAACUAUAACGGUCCUAAGGUAGCGAAAUUCCUUGUCGGGUAAGUUCCGACCUGCACGAAUGGCGUAACGAUUUGGGCGCUGUCUCAACCAUGGACCCGGUGAAAUUGUAUUAUUCGUGAAGAUGCGAAUUACCUGCGGAAGGACGGAAAGACCCCGUGAACCUUUACUGCAGCUUGACAUUGAUCGUUGGCUCGGCGCGUAGAGGAUAGGCAGGAGGCUGCGAAGCCCGGGCGCCAGCCCGGGCGGAGCCGACCUUGGAAUACUGCCCUCGUCGCGUCGGCGAUCUAACCCCCGGCCGUGAUCCGGCGGGGGGACCGUGUCAGGCGGGUAGUUUGACUGGGGCGGUCGCCUCCCAAAACGUAACGGAGGCGCGCAAAAGGUCCGCUCAGGACGGUCGGCAACCGUCCCGAGAGCGCAAGAGUGCAAGCGG